Molecule: ribosomal RNA, 253 nt
Filed under: uncultured bacterium
Lineage: Bacteria
Description: partial 16S ribosomal RNA
Rfam family: Bacterial small subunit ribosomal RNA
Source: RNAcentral
UACGUAGGUGGCAAGCGUUGUCCGGAAUUAUUGGGCGUAAAGCGCGCGCAGGCGGCCUCUUAAGUCUGAUGUGAAAGCCCCCGGCUCAACCGGGGAGGGCCAUUGGAAACUGGGAGACUUGAGUAUAGGAGAGAAGAGUGGAAUUCCACGUGUAGCGGUGAAAUGCGUAGAGAUGUGGAGGAACACCAGUGGCGAAGGCGACUCUUUGGCCUAUAACUGACGCUGAGGCGCGAAAGCGUGGGGAGCAAACAGG